RNAcentral lists this ribosomal RNA (499 nucleotides) under uncultured bacterium. Its description in RNAcentral is "bacterial SSU rRNA". It matches the Rfam family "Bacterial small subunit ribosomal RNA", at positions 29 to 511 of the family's 1533-position model. The record is from RNAcentral.
AGCGAACGUUAGCGGCGGGCCUAACACAUGCAAGUCGAACGCGAAAGGUCUUCGGACUGAGUAGAGUGGCGCACGGGUGAGUAACACGUAGGUAAUCUACCCUUUGGCGGGGGAUAACGUUCCGAAAGGAGCGCUAAUACCGCAUAAGACCACGGAGUCUCCGGACGCUGUGGGAAAAGGUGGCCUCUUCUUGAAAGCUACCACCGAAGGAUGAGCCUGCGUCCCAUCAGCUAGUUGGUAAGUAAUGGCUUACCAAGGCGAAGACGGGUAGCUGGUUUGAGAGAAUGAUCAGCCACACUGGCACUGGAACACGGGCCAGACUCCUACGGGAGGCAGCAGUGAGGAAUAUGGGCAAUGGGCGAAAGCCUGACCCAGCCACGCCGCGUGAGUGAUGAAGGCCCUCGGGUCGUAAAGCUCUGUGGAGAGAGACGAAUAAAGACCUGUGAAGAGCAGGCCUUGACGGUAUCUCCUUAGCAAGCACCGGCUAACUCCGUGCCAG